RNAcentral lists this transfer RNA (65 nucleotides) under Calomera chloris. Its description in RNAcentral is "transfer RNA-Leu". The record is from RNAcentral. Lineage: Eukaryota; Metazoa; Arthropoda; Insecta; Coleoptera; Carabidae.
AUUACUUUGGCAGAUUAGUGCAAUGAAUUUAGAAUUCAUGAAUGUAAUAUUUAUUACAAGUAAUA